AUAAGGGUAAAACUAUAAUUUGAAACCAUUUACUCCGCUUCUCAUUCUAGUAAGAGGAAACAACUUGCUCCCACUCCACACUCUCAAUCACAAGAUUCUCACUUCUCAAGAUUUCCACUAUAAUUUAAAAUGUAAACACCGUUUAGAAUGUCAAAUAAAAUUCUCAAUUAAGUAAACCAUAAGGUGAUUGCAUAUAAAAAAAUUAAUAAUAUUAAUUUUCAUAAGAAUUUAUGCUCGUAGUAUUACUUUACUUUUUAUUAACCGUUGCUUCAACUUAUGGUAGAUUGUAACAUAUGCACUUUAAUUUUCUUAAUUAAGUGUAUUAUUUAAUUUUUCCCAUUCGAUGUUAAUUUUAAAUUUUUCAUGACAUAAAAUUGAGAAAAUUCGAAUACGAUUCAAUGGCCGUGUAGUUGGAUUUUAUUCAACACAGGUCCGACAUUAACUUAGAUAGUAGUAAUCUUUAAAAAAAAAGCUAGUUUCUAUAAAUGGAAUUGGGGGAGCUGAUUUCCAAAAGAGGAAAGAAAGAGGGGCACACGAGAGAGAAGGGGGGAGAGAGAGAGAGAAGUUGACCCGUUUAGCCCGACCCGACUCCAACUCCCGUUUCUGGCCACCAUUCCGAUCAAGCUUGGUACCAAUCUGAAGCUUGAGCGACGCUGGCCAUAUCCCUGUUGUCAUCGUCACCGGAAAACAGCCACAAUGCCGGUGAACACCGGUGAUCGCUGUCAAUCUCGUUGGAAUUAGGUUGCACCAUCAGCUGGGUUCGACUCCUCACGUCACCAGCUUUCAUUUCCGACUAACCCCGCCACCUGAAACCUCUGUUUUGGCCAUGAACGACCGCCGGAAAGCUCACGGCUUUGGGAGCACGAUCUGCCACCAUCGCAGCGUGUGGGAGGUCAUCGUCGACGCCAUUAGGCUCACCGAGGUCAGAACUAUCAGACUUGAGCUUUCCGUCGUCAUUGACUGAAGUCCGGUCACCGUUGAGCAGUGGGGGCAAUUUGGUAAUUUCACAAGACUUUAAGGUGGAUUUGUAAUUUGGUAAUUUUAGGUUAGGGCAGUGAGGUAAUUUAAGACUUUGAGGGUAAUUUGGUAAUUUAAGUUAUUAAGAGCAUUUUGGUAAUUUCGCACUUCGAGGGUAAUUUCUUAAAUUCAAAACUUGUGAUUAAUUUUGUUAUCCAAAUUGAGGACAAUUUGGUAGUUUAAGAUAUUGAAGAUGAUUUGAUAAAUUAUGAUUCCGAUGGUACUUCGGUAAAUUUCGGUGUCAGGGGCCUUUUGGUAAUUUUUUGACAUAAGGGUAAUUUUGAAAUUUUAUGUAUCCAGGAGUUUGGUUUUGAGCUUUAUUUCAUACUGUUAGUCAUAUUUCAUGAUACAGAUAAUAAUUAUAUCGUUUAUUUAAUUAGGAGGACUCGCGAGCAAAAAUCAACCUGCAGAUGUUGGUGAUACCGAGUCUAGACAUUGUCACUGUGAGUGGAAUAUACAAAACAUAUUUUCAUAGUAUAUUUUGAUUUUACCAUAUAGUACAACAUGUUUUGAUAAUAAGUAUUUGAUGCUUUGAUUUAAUGAUUUUCUAGAAAUUUGAUUUUCAUUCUACAUGCUGAUAUUUAUUAUUAUUGAAAAUUAGUUUGAUUAAUGAUUUUAUUGUCAUUUUUUUUAGUAAAUGCAUGAUAUUAGAAUUGAGUGGGUUUGAGAUAUGUUGAAUAAAAAGGAAAUGGGAUUUUAUAUGUGAUUAUAUGUUUACGUGCAUGUGUAUAAAAGAUUGUUUGGAAAAUCAUUGGAAGUACCUUUCCCCUUUCAGAUACAGAGAUACAAAUAAUAUGAGAUGAAUAUAGUGAUACAGAUGAUAUGAGAUGAGAGGUUUUUAGGGUUCGUCUGAACACGCACAAAGACUUUGGGCCGUGUGUUUGGAUGAUUUUGCCUUUUAGGGGCUUAUGCAUACAAUAUGAUGAUUACAUAGAUACAGAUGUUGAGAUACAUGAGAUAUAAGAUGACAUUUUCCUAUAUAUCCGUUGUAGCUCCAAGGCAUGAUGGUUCCCUGAUUGCCCGUUCGUCGAGGUCCGAAUAUGAUGAGAUUAUUCCGUCUGGGUACUUGUUUGAUGAUAGUUUUUUGUAUCUAGUAUUUGAUAUUAUAAGUAUUAUGAUUUCAUUGAUUUUAUGCAGAUUUAUGUAAUAUUAUUAUUUCAGUGCAUGAAUUGAAUUAAAUAAGUUUAUGUAAGUUCUUAUAAAAUUUUGAUGAAAUUAACUUGGAAAAGAUUAAAUCAUUUUAAAUAAAUUUAUUUUUCCAAAAACUACUAUCCACUCACUAAGCUCGCUGAGUUUUAUACUCACCUCAUUUUUAUUGUAUUUUUCCUCCCACAGGAGAUUUGCAGGUACAUCAGUCGACCCGGCAACGAUAGUUAGAUUGAAAUUAUGGCCACGUGAUGGUGUUAGAAAUCAUAGAUGUUUUGUUGGGACAUGUUGAAUUGUAUAAUUUAUUACUUAUUUGUGAUUAAGGAUAAAUCAUUAUAUUCUUGACAUUAUAUGAUUGAAGGAUACUGAUAUUUAAAUUGAGGAAGUUGGUUGUGGAUGUUGAUUAAAUAUUGUAUUAUUUUUGGGAGUAUUAAUUGUAUAAAUUGUAGGUUUGGGGAUGUCAUAAUUAUAUAGGAGACUGUCGAAUUUUUGGUAAAAUUCUUAGAUAUCAAAAUUCUUAUUAGUUCGAUUAGGCAAGAUUAGAUAGAUUCAUCCUGGGGAUUCGGGGCGGGUCCUUUCAUAGAUAUUAAGAGAACAAUAAUAAUAUAGCUAUAAAUGGUUGCAUACUAUCAAUCAACUUAACACUAUAAUUACCAACAAAUCCUUAAUACUGUAAAUAAUUAAAUUAUUGGGGUUUUAAAAUGACUCUCCAGACUUUGCAUGAUUUCUUUAUAUGUAAGUGCCAUGGUUCGUAUAAGUAAUAUCAGCCACGCUUUGUGUUAUUGUUAAAACAAAUUUAUAAGUACAAUUUGUGAAUUUGUACAAAAUGUGGUAUUAUAAAUUUGAAGCAUGAACCGAGAAGACAAUGUUGUGUCAAUAAUAAAGAAACAAAAAAAAAUUAUAUAAAAUACAGAUGUUGUAGUGUAACUUGUAUUCUUUUUAUUUAUAAUUUUACCUAUCAUGUGAUUAUAAAAAAAAAAUUGAGAUUUUAAAAUUUUGUAAUUGCACUAUUUUUGGAUUAUCAGAAGGCUUCCUCUCCUUAAAGAUGCCCUUAAUCCAUAAAUGGUCCAAAAAAUAAUUCAUGAAAUGAAUUUAUUAUUUUAGAUAAGUUUCAAGUACGCAUACCUUUACUAGCUCCAUAUUGCAUAACUCCUCGUUUCAAUCAAUGGAUACAUUUGUUUACUUUUUCUUUCUUGUAAAUUUUUGAAUGGCCAUAAUUCUAUAGAUAAUUAAUUAAGUGUUAUUGUUAUCAUUAUUUUGUAGAUUUUGUAGAUUUACUAGCUCCAUAAUUCUAUAGAUAAGUUUCAAGUACGCAUACCUUUACUAGCUCCAUAUUGCAUAACUCCUCGUUUCAAUCAAUGGAUACAUUUGUUUACUUUUUCUUUCUUGUAAAUUUUUGAAUGGCCAUAAUUCUAUAGAUAAUUAAUUAAGUGUUAUUGUUAUCAUUAUUUUGUAGAUUUAUAUGUGAGGUGGGGACGUUGGGGGGCAUGGAUCUCAAUAUAGCAGAGGGCCAUAAUAUUUAUUCUUUAAGAGGAACCACAACCAACAUCAAUGCUUUAAGUUCCAUUCCAUGUUCCUUCUAUGCACCAAAUUGCAUAAACAACAUUGAUUAUCCAAGGUCAAAGUCUCUUAAAGACUCUAGUUACAAUACAAAGCAUGGGUUAGCGGCCAAAAUUUUCUUGCAAUGAAAGGCUCGUAAACUGAUGACAGCUGCUGGAUUGUUUUGGGCCCCAAUAGUUUUAAUAUUAUUCUCUUAAAAACAUAUAUGUUGAUUAGAGACGAGAGGACAAAGAUAAUCUGAUUCAGCCAGCUGCAGAAGAAAGAGCACGCAGUGGAGUUCAGAUUUUGAAUUCUCUUGUUAAAUUGUUUUUAAUUUACUACAAGAUAGAAUACGUUGCAGUGUUAAAAAAUACUUUGAACAUCCUAUUUUUGUAUUACAAAUAUACCAAGAUUUAAAUUAUUAUUUUUCUUUAUUAGUAUAAACUAAAUUUUGCCUGAAUUCUCAUCCUUGUAAGUGGAAUUUUAUUGUGAAACUAAUAGUCCUUCCUAGUUGAACUAACUAUACGCAUUGGCUUUCAACCAGCCAUAAUUAGGAGGAGGGCAAACUUCCAAAUAACAUUCCAAAUGGUAUUGCGAAAAUUUUUUUACCCUUUUGGUAAUAAAAAAGAACCUUAUUUCUAGCUCUCUAUUAACAAUCUUACCACAAAGUUCUCUCUUAAGUAGAAACAUUAUAUAUAUUAAUUUAUUGUUAAUAAAAACAAAACCAGUAGCGGAUCUACAGCUGGGCUAGGUCUAGAAAAAAUCAUUUAAACCCCUUGUCUUUUGAUUCAUUUUACAUAAGGAUAGACUUUUAUUUUAUUUUUAUAUAAGUCUCCAAUUCAGUUACAAUUAUGUUUUUGUCAAAUUUCAUAGAAUAAUAGAGUUUUUACUUUAUUUUCAAAUAUGUCCUUAACUCAAUUAUAUUUUUUCCCAACUGGAAUUAAUGACUUAUUUUAUAAAAUAAUUAAAUUAUAUAUUUAUUGAAUAGAUUGAAAACAUUAGGGGUUUAAAAUGUUAUUACAACUUUAAUUUGUUUUUAAAAUUUUAAUUUAACAAAGUAUGUGAAUGUAAUAUAACAUCGUCACUAUUAUUAAAAAUACUAA
RNAcentral lists this long non-coding RNA (4805 nucleotides) under Citrus x clementina. RNAcentral describes it as "Citrus clementina (C. clementina) long non-coding RNA (CCLE_LNC000829)". Lineage: Eukaryota; Viridiplantae; Streptophyta; Magnoliopsida; Sapindales; Rutaceae. The record is from RNAcentral.